This 841-nucleotide ribosomal RNA is filed under the name Aspergillus filifer. RNAcentral's name for it is "LSU rRNA". It matches the Rfam family "Eukaryotic large subunit ribosomal RNA", at positions 74 to 932 of the family's 3401-position model. The record is from RNAcentral. Lineage: Eukaryota; Fungi; Ascomycota; Eurotiomycetes; Eurotiales; Aspergillaceae.
AUUGCCUCAGUAACGGCGAGUGAAGCGGCAAGAGCUCAAAUUUGAAAUCUGGCCCCUCCGGGGUCCGAGUUGUAAUUUGCAGAGGAUGCUUCGGGUGCGGCCCCUGUCUAAGUGCCCUGGAACGGGCCGUCAGAGAGGGUGAGAAUCCCGUCUUGGGCAGGGUGCCCGUGCCCGUGUGAAGCUCCUUCGACGAGUCGAGUUGUUUGGGAAUGCAGCUCUAAAUGGGUGGUAAAUUUCAUCUAAAGCUAAAUACCGGCCGGAGACCGAUAGCGCACAAGUAGAGUGAUCGAAAGAUGAAAAGCACUUUGAAAAGAGAGUUAAACAGCACGUGAAAUUGUUGAAAGGGAAGCGCUUGCGACCAGACUCGGCCCUGGGGUUCAGCCAGCACUCGUGCUGGUGUACUUCCCCAGGGGCGGGCCAGCGUCGGUUUGGGCGGCCGGUCAAAGGCCCCAGGAAUGUAUCGCCCUCCGGGGCGUCUUAUAGCCUGGGGUGCAAUGCGGCCAGCCCGGACCGAGGAACGCGCUUCGGCACGGACGCUGGCGUAAUGGUCGCAAACGACCCGUCUUGAAACACGGACCAAGGAGUCUAACAUCUACGCGAGUGUUCGGGUGUCAAACCCGUACGCGCAGUGAAAGCGAACGGAGGUGGGAGCCCCCCCGGGGCGCACCAUCGACCGAUCCUGAUGUCUUCGGAUGGAUUUGAGUAAGAGCGUAGCUGUGGGGACCCGAAAGAUGGUGAACUAUGCCUGAAUAGGGCGAAGCCAGAGGAAACUCUGGUGGAGGCUCGCAGCGGUUCUGACGUGCAAAUCGAUCGUCAAAUUUGGGUAUAGGGGCGAAAGACU